GCCUGGAUGGCUCAGUCGGUUGAGCAUUUGACUUCGGCUCAGGUCAUGAUAUUGAGGUUCAUGAGUUUGAGCCCCAUAUCGGGCU
Molecule: transfer RNA, 85 nt
Filed under: Felis catus (domestic cat)
Lineage: Eukaryota; Metazoa; Chordata; Mammalia; Carnivora; Felidae
Rfam family: tRNA
About the family: Transfer RNA (tRNA) molecules are approximately 80 nucleotides in length. Their secondary structure includes four short double-helical elements and three loops (D, anti-codon, and T loops).
Source: Rfam by way of RNAcentral